Molecule: ribosomal RNA, 263 nt
Filed under: uncultured archaeon
Lineage: Archaea
Description: partial 16S ribosomal RNA
Rfam family: Archaeal small subunit ribosomal RNA
Source: RNAcentral
CAGCCGUAAACUAUGCUCGCUAGGUGUCAGGCAUGGCGCGACCGUGUCUGGUGCCGCAGGGAAGCCGUGAAGCGAGCCACCUGGGAAGUACGGCCGCAAGGCUGAAACUUAAAGGAAUUGGCGGGGGAGCACAACAACGGGUGGAGCCUGCGGUUUAAUUUGGACUCAACGCCGGACAACUCACCGGGGGUGGACAGCAGAAUGAUGGCCAGGUUGAUGACCUUGCUUGACAAGCUGAGAGGAGGUGCAUGGCGUGUGACUGU